Molecule: non-coding RNA, 85 nt
Organism: Felis catus (domestic cat)
Lineage: Eukaryota; Metazoa; Chordata; Mammalia; Carnivora; Felidae
Source: Rfam
GCCUGGGUGGCUCAGUCGGUUAAAUGUCUGACUUUGGCUCAGGUCAUGAUCUCGCAGUUCGUGGGUUCGAGCCCCACUUCCGGCU